AUUGAACGCUGGCGGCAUGCCUUACACAUGCAAGUCGAACGGCAGCACGGGUGCUUGCACCUGGUGGCGAGUGGCGAACGGGUGAGUAAUACAUCGGAACGUACCUUAUCGUGGGGGAUAACGCAGCGAAAGCUGUGCUAAUACCGCAUACGCCCUGAGGGGGAAAGCGGGGGAUCGCAAGACCACGCGCGACUAGAGCGGCCGAUGCCUGAUUAGCUUGUUGGUGGGGUAAAAGCCCACCAAGGCGACGAUCAGUAGCUGGUCUGAGAGGACGAUCAGCCACACUGGGACUGAGACACGGCCCAGACUCCUACGGGAGGCAGCAGUGGGGAAUUUUGGACAAUGGGGGCAACCCUGAUCCAGCAAUGCCGCGUGAGUGAAGAAGGCCUUCGGGUUGUAAAGCUCUUUUGUCAGGGAAGAAACACCGGCUCUAACACAGUCUGGGAAUGACGGUACCUGAAGAAUAAGCACCGGCUAACUACGUGCCAGCCGCCGCGGUAA
Molecule: ribosomal RNA, 501 nt
Filed under: uncultured bacterium
Lineage: Bacteria
Description: partial 16S ribosomal RNA
Rfam family: Bacterial small subunit ribosomal RNA
Source: RNAcentral